Molecule: long non-coding RNA, 406 nt
Organism: Aethina tumida (small hive beetle)
Lineage: Eukaryota; Metazoa; Arthropoda; Insecta; Coleoptera; Nitidulidae
Exons: 3
Source: RefSeq, a predicted model, not a curated record
CUGAUAUAUUGUACAAUAGUCCUCUGCAAAAAAAACUUGGGAAAAUUUGAAGGAGUUAUACAGGAAACAAAUUUUUGCCGAGGGUUCUUCUUCUAAUAUUGUUCCUGUCAUAGAUAAAGUCCGAAAGAUAAUUGGAGGUGAUUUAAACUGGUCUUCUUUACCAAUUUCUUAUCAAAGAACUAGUAUCAUGAAAGAACAGACUGAGGAAGAUCAUAAUACACUUACUGGCCAUAAUUGCAAACAUGAAACUGUAUUGAAAAUGUUGCAAUUGAACGAGGAAUAACAAAAGAAACGAUUGAGCAACCUUUACCAAUUACUGAAGAAAAACCAAUUGAAUGUUGAAAUGAAGAAGAUCAUACGGCAGUUAAGGAAACAAAAAUGAAAUACUUUGACGAAUAUGGAAUAA